CAGUCGCCGCGGGAAUACGUAGGGUGCAAGCGUUAUCCGGAAUUAUUGGGCGUAAAGAGCUCGUAGGCGGUUUGUCGCGUCUGCUGUGAAAACUGGAGGCUCAACCUCCAGCCUGCAGUGGGUACGGGCAGACUAGAGUGCGGUAGGGGAGAUUGGAAUUCCUGGUGUAGCGGUGGAAUGCGCAGAUAUCAGGAGGAACACCGAUGGCGAAGGCAGAUCUCUGGGCCGUAACUGACGCUGAGGAGCGAAAGCAUGGGGAGCGAACAGGAUUAGAGACCCCAGUAGUCCCUGUCUCUUAUAC
Molecule: ribosomal RNA, 301 nt
Filed under: uncultured bacterium
Lineage: Bacteria
Description: partial 16S ribosomal RNA
Rfam family: Bacterial small subunit ribosomal RNA
Source: RNAcentral